Hordeum vulgare subsp. vulgare (domesticated barley) is the source of this 136-nucleotide non-coding RNA. Lineage: Eukaryota; Viridiplantae; Streptophyta; Magnoliopsida; Poales; Poaceae. The record is from Rfam.
AAUCUACUCCCUCCGUCCCAAAAUUUUUGUCUUACUUUUGUCUAGAAAUGAAUGUAUCUAAAUACUAAAACUUGACUAGAUACAUUCGUAUCUAAACAAAUCUAAGACAAAAAUUUUGGAACGGAGGAAGUACUAU